UACAGAGGGUGCGAGCGUUGUCCGGAAUCACUGGGCGUAAAGGGCGCGUAGGUGGCGCUCCAAGUCUGUGGUGAAAGCUCGAUGCUUAACAUCGAGUCGGCCACGGAGACUGGAGGGCUCGAGCACUGUAGGGGCAGAUGGAAUUCCGGGUGUAGCGGUGGAAUGCGUAGAGAUCCGGAAGAACACCGGUGGCGAAGGCGGUCUGCUGGGCAGUUGCUGACACUGAGGCGCGACAGCGUGGGGAGCAAACAGG
Molecule: ribosomal RNA, 253 nt
Filed under: uncultured bacterium
Lineage: Bacteria
Description: partial 16S ribosomal RNA
Rfam family: Bacterial small subunit ribosomal RNA
Source: RNAcentral